AGUGGCGAAAGGGGCAGUAAUGUGUGGGUAACCUACCCUGGGGACCGGGAUAGCCAUUCUAACGAGUGGGUAAUACCGGGCAAUGUAGCUGAGGGGCAUCCUUUGGCUACCAGAUGAAUUUCGCCCUGGGAGGGGCUCAUAUCGUAUUAGCUAGUUGGUGGGGUAACGGCCUACCAAGGCAAAGAUGCGUAGCGGGUGUGAGAGCACGACCCGCGCCACUGGCACUGAGACACUGGCCAGACACCUACGGGUGGCUGCAGUCGAGGAUCUUUGGCAAUGAGCGCAAGCUUGACCAAGCGACGCCGCGUGUGCGAUGAAGGCCUUCGGGUUGUAAAGCACUGUCGAGGGGGAUCAAAGGGCAACCUUGAGUGAUCCCUGGAGGAAGCACGGGCUAAGUUCGUGCCAGCAGCCGCGGUAAGACGAACCGUGCGAACGUUGUUCGGAAUCACUGGGCUUAAAGGGCGCGUAGGCGGCUUGUCAAGUCAGGGGUGAAAUCUUUCGGCUCAACCGGAAAAGUGCCUUUGAUACUGACAAGCUAGAGGGAGGUAGGGGUAUGUGGAACUUCUGGUGGAGCGGUGAAACACGUUGAUAUCAGAAGGAACGCCGGUGGCGAAAGCGACGUACUGGACCUCUUCUGACGCUGAGGCGCGAAAGCUAGGGGAGCAAACGGGAUUAGAUACCCCGGUAGUCCUAGCCCUAAACGAUGGGUACUAGA
Molecule: ribosomal RNA, 715 nt
Filed under: uncultured bacterium
Lineage: Bacteria
Description: bacterial SSU rRNA
Rfam family: Bacterial small subunit ribosomal RNA
Source: RNAcentral